UCCUGGUUAACCCAGGCAGUCUCAUUAGAGUUCCCACCUUAAAUGUUGGCAACUAAUGAUAAGGGUUGCGCUCGUUGCGGGACUUAACCCAACACCUCACGGCACGAGCUGACGACAGCCAUGCAGCACCUGUGCACCGGCUCCGAAGAGAGUCGACAUUUCUGUCGAUGUCCGGUGCAUGUCAAGCCUGGGUAAGGUUCUUCGCGUUGCAUCGAAUUAAACCACAUGCUCCACUGCUUGUGCGGGUCCCCGUCAAUUCUUUUGAGUUUCAGCCUUGCGACUGUACUCCCCAGGCGGUAUACUUAUCGCGUUAGCUACGGCACAACCAGGGUUGAUUCCGGUUACACCAAGUAUACAUCGUUUACAGCAAGGACUAC
Molecule: unclassified non-coding RNA, 377 nt
Filed under: uncultured Parachlamydiaceae bacterium
Lineage: Bacteria; Pseudomonadati; Chlamydiota; Chlamydiia; Parachlamydiales; Parachlamydiaceae
Description: contains 16S-23S intergenic spacer region
Source: RNAcentral